AACUGAGUAUCUGUCCAACACACUUACGGAUAUAGUCGCUUUGUUCGUUUUACGUAAUGUUAUGCAGAAAACAAAAUAUUAUAGAUAGAUCAUUAUAGAAUAUUUAAUAUUUUGCCUGUAGACGUUGUUUAAAGUGAUGCAUAAAUUUAUUUUAUUUUCAAUAAUUGGGAUAACAAUUUUACACAAAGCAAUCGGUACAGGAUGUUUGCAGUGUGUAAAUGGUAGUAUAAGCCCGCCAGGAGUAAUCUUUGUUAUACCUGAUAUUGUGGAAAAAUUGAAAAACCCACAAUGUGCCAACGCAACGUCGGAAACUAAUGCAACAAAUGUAAUAUUUGGCCCAUGUCCAAACGAUCCAACUGACAACCGGAUAAACAGAUGUGGUACUCUCCGUGGAAGUGUUAAGUUGUCAGUGUCUCCUAUGGAAGCUACAGUGACGUUUUAUUUAAGAGAUUGUUUUGCGGUGAAUAAAAACUCAGAGUCUGGAUGUUACACAGACCAGAAUAUCUUAAAUGACCAGAAAGCUAUCUUUGAAAAGAAAUUUGAAGAUGUUCUUAAAAAAUAUGGUGUACGAGUUGGAGAUAUACAAAAUGGACAGUUCUGUAUCACUCACAGUGGUACCAAUAAGUCGUGCACAUUAAUGUAUUCAUCAGUAUGGUUGCUAAUCAUUUUAAUGCUGUCACACCUUAUCAGCCAAUUUCAUAACACAUGCAGCUUAUGAGUAAUAAUUUUUUUUCUCCAGUUCUCUUUUUUUUGUGCAAUUUAGUUAAUACACACAUUGUACUCAAUAGUUCAAGUGCAAUGAGUUGCCUAAUUUGAAUUUGAAUUGGAAGGUAUUAAAUACAUAAAGCAUUGUAUAUCUAUCUGCA
Molecule: long non-coding RNA, 866 nt
Organism: Mytilus californianus (California mussel)
Lineage: Eukaryota; Metazoa; Mollusca; Bivalvia; Mytilida; Mytilidae
Exons: 3
Source: RefSeq, a predicted model, not a curated record